RNAcentral lists this transfer RNA (72 nucleotides) under Bos taurus (domestic cattle). It matches the Rfam family "tRNA". Rfam says of the family: Transfer RNA (tRNA) molecules are approximately 80 nucleotides in length. Their secondary structure includes four short double-helical elements and three loops (D, anti-codon, and T loops). The record is from Rfam by way of RNAcentral. RNAcentral also lists the same sequence under 4 other names. Lineage: Eukaryota; Metazoa; Chordata; Mammalia; Artiodactyla; Bovidae.
UCCCUGGUGGUCUAGUGGCUAAGACUCCAUCUUCCAAUCCUGGGGACCCAGGUUUGAUUCUUGGUCAGGGAA